UAACGCGUAGGUAACCUGCCUUGUAGCGGGGGAGUAACUAUUGGAAACGAUAGCUAAUACCGCAUAACAAUGGGUGACUCAUGUCAUUUAUUUGAAAAGGGGCAAAUGCUCCACUACAAGAUGGACCUGCGUUGUAUUAGCUAGUAGGUGAGGUAACGGCUCACCUAGGCGACGAUACAUAGCCGACCUGAGAGGGUGAUCGGCCACACUGGGACUGAGACACGGCCCAG
This 230-nucleotide ribosomal RNA is filed under the name uncultured bacterium. RNAcentral's name for it is "partial 16S ribosomal RNA". It matches the Rfam family "Bacterial small subunit ribosomal RNA", at positions 111 to 334 of the family's 1533-position model. The record is from RNAcentral.